ACUCUAAUUUCAUCUCAGAUGGACCACCCCUAUGCAUUGCCUGCAUCUCCCACUGGUCUAAAGACCAGACUCUGUGAAGCCUUGGCUAGAGUGGAGAGUCUAGAGCACGAGUUGAGGAAUGUAAAGGACCGGGAACGGAGGGCAAAGAAGACUGUGUGUGAUCUUCUAGAGGAUCUGCAGGGAAAGAACCUCAUAAAUGAAGAUCUGAAAGAGAGACUCCGUUUCUACUCUGGUACCUGUCUGUCAUGGGUUCAUCAUCAACAUUGGUACCCUCAUAUUGUUGAUUCCUAAGCUGCUACAAUUUCAGCGAUAUGUCUGCACCUAUCGAUUUAGCCAGGAUCACUUGGAGCUCCUCUUCAAUUCUAUCAAGGCAUCAGGAGGCUGGAAUAACAAUCCUACUGCAGGCCAGUUCCAGGGCAUUUUCCGCCAUCUCAUGGUCCGGUGAGGUGUCUCACCAAGCAUUUCAGGAAAUGUGGUAGAACAGAAUGAGACCGUGUCCCUAUCGGCUGUUGAGAUGUCGUCGACUCUAGCAGCAGAAGAAUCUGAAGACCUUCCGUCCCCUUUUGUAAACAUCUCUGCACUUGUGUGUGACCACAGCUACCUGCCAACCCCUCUUGGGAGCCUUGUGGACAAUGCCCUUGUGGACAUUUCAGGGUUUGUUGUUCAUCAGAUUUUGAGGAAGCUGUCCUGUGAUGUGUGUCGUGCUAGCUUGGUGACAGAUGCUGUAUCUGCUUCAUUUGAUCAGCGCUACCACUUGCUUACACUGAAAAACAAUGGAGGACUGAUGAUUCCUU
Molecule: long non-coding RNA, 794 nt
Organism: Sinocyclocheilus grahami
Lineage: Eukaryota; Metazoa; Chordata; Actinopteri; Cypriniformes; Cyprinidae
Exons: 4
Source: RefSeq, a predicted model, not a curated record